This is a long non-coding RNA of Haplochromis burtoni (Burton's mouthbrooder), 1212 nucleotides long. RefSeq lists it as uncharacterized. The transcript is spliced from 2 exons. The record is from RefSeq and is a predicted model, not a curated record. NCBI's taxonomy places the organism in Eukaryota, Metazoa, Chordata, Actinopteri, Cichliformes, Cichlidae.
CAGAGAGAAAAGAAAGGAAAAGAGACUUUUAAAAAGCCUCACACAGCCAGCCUGCAGGCAGCACUUUAAUUACUUCAGAUGGUUUCUUACGUCACUGUUUUCAACUUUAACUCGUGGAUCACAGCUGAUCCGGAUAUGGAGCGGCGGAGCUCCCCUCAGACACUACUAGUCGUUCUCUGAUUCGGCAACGCGUAAUCUACCCUGUCUAUUGAUACUGAAUUUCAAACUCAUUAAAUGCACGCUCGCAGAAGGAAGAAAAUGCCCUCUCUGCCUUCUGUACAUUACCAAGCAUCUAAAUCUAAGGAAACACCGGAACAAAAAGCUAGUCAAAGUGAUCACCGUGAUGUCUGCCGUCCGAUUCACUGAUCCGGCCUCAACCUCCGCCGACAACAAACACCUGAACCUCGUUCUACUGAUCCUCAGUUGCCCGCAUCCUCCACCAAAUGCUGCGAGAUCGAUCAACUUUAGACCAGACAACAAACUACGGAGGCUCCGGAAAAGUGCAAUCAAACGAUGAGUUUUAUUAUCACAGGAGAACAACCAACCGUCAGCAUACGGAAUGGGUUGCUCUGACAAGAAUACAUUGGGUUCUGGUUUUAUAGGAUAAAAUAUCACACCUACGUCAAUACAGUUCAAAAAUACAUGGUGACAGACGGGCAAAAGUUCAACCCGUGCAGACAAGGGUACAUCACGUACAUAUAACCUUACACCGACAUAUAACUUCUCCUUUCUACAUUACUUGCCUUUUAAGGUAAUAACUUCAGGUCUUAGCAUCUCUGAGAGCUAAUAAUGGACCCUCGUCAUUAAUCACUAAGUAGAGUACUUUGCAGCCAGUCUCAAACUGAAGCAGAAGACGCUUAGGCCUUCGCUCAGACCUGCUACUAGAUUAAUAUGUGUAUCGUAAGCGUGCAUGCAAUUAACCUGCUAUGUUCUCAUCUCCCCUCAGCAUGUAUCAUCUGGACACUCUCACCAGUGAAGCUUAAAACCUUCUAGAAUGGAACAUCAACUCUAACCAAGCACAUUUAUGCAUUGUGUAUAAAAUGAACUCAACCUAUAAAAAUAGAAAGGUCAAUGUGAUGACAGACAUAUUCAAUGCAAUAUAAACCCUGUAGGAAAUAUUACUGAUAAAUGAUACUGUGAAACAUGUUAUUAAUACAUUCUUCAUAAGGCAAAUUAUAUGGUAGCAAUAAAAGAAUCUCUGAAUCCCAACAA